Molecule: long non-coding RNA, 333 nt
Organism: Gadus morhua (Atlantic cod)
Lineage: Eukaryota; Metazoa; Chordata; Actinopteri; Gadiformes; Gadidae
Exons: 3
Source: RefSeq, a predicted model, not a curated record
UUGAGAUGGAAACCUGGCUGUGGAUUAUUAUGGCUGCACUUCUAUCUGAGUGUAAAGGAGAAGACAGAGUGACCCAGCCCAGAGAGGAUGUCAUUUCUACUGAAGGACUCACAGUUCAUGCUACGACGCUUUACAAUUGGAGAAGGAAAUAAUGCUGCAGAGUUCCGAAAAGACCGAUUUGAUGCCCAAAUCCAGAACACAUCAGUUCCUCUGAGGAUCCAGAACCUGCAGUGACAGACUCUGCUCUGUACUACUGUGCUCUGAGGCCCACAGUGACAGGAAACACAGACUCCAUGUACAAAAACCCUCUGAGCACAAAACUCAAUUCCCUCU